UACGUAGGUGGCGAGCGUUGUCCGGAAUUACUGGGUGUAAAGGGCGUGUCGGCGGGAAUGUAAGUCAGAUGUGAAAUACCAUGGCUCAACCGUGGGGGUGCAUCUGAAACUAUGUUUCUUGAGUGCUGGAGAGGAAAGCGGAAUUCCUAGUGUAGCGGUGAAAUGCGUAGAUAUUAGGAGGAACACCAGUGGCGAAGGCGGCUUUCUGGACAGUAACUGACGCUGAGGCGCGAAAGCGUGGGGAGCAAACAGG
Molecule: ribosomal RNA, 253 nt
Filed under: uncultured bacterium
Lineage: Bacteria
Description: partial 16S ribosomal RNA
Rfam family: Bacterial small subunit ribosomal RNA
Source: RNAcentral